This is an RNA transcript of Oncorhynchus gorbuscha (pink salmon), 3354 nucleotides long. It is a transcript of the gene named polyunsaturated fatty acid lipoxygenase ALOX15B-like, with no coding region annotated. Lineage: Eukaryota; Metazoa; Chordata; Actinopteri; Salmoniformes; Salmonidae. The transcript has 14 exons. The record is from RefSeq and is a predicted model, not a curated record.
GCACUGUUGAUUGAGUCAUGAUAAGUAUCCAUAGGUUAAAUUAAAGAUGCAAUAUGUAACUUUUUGGGUGACCAGAACAAAUUCACAUAGAAAUCUGAGUUAUAAAUGUCAUUCUCAUUGAAAGCAAGUCUAAGAAGCCUUAAAUCGGUUCCCGUUUUUAAGUUUCAUUUUUGCAUCUUUUACUUUCAGCUUCAAAAGUUGAAAAUACAAUAUUUGAGGUCAUUGAAAAAAUGUUACAGCUAUUUAAAUGGUACAAUGACUUUCUACACUAUACAUUUCUUAUUUUGUCACAAACUGAAAUUGGGAAAUUUCUGCAUAGUGCACAUUUACAUAUUUAUUUACCAUAACCACACAUGAUGAAUUGUAAAACUGUAAAUUAGGCCUAUUCAUAACAAGGACUGUUCUUAUGGUAUCAACGUGAUCAAAGCCUAUCAUUGAAUUGAAUGUGCAUUUAGCCAUUUUUUGUACUGCACAUUGUGUAUUGUACGGUAGUGAUAUGUCAAGUCAGCAUGGUUGACAAGUCAUGAACAAGAUGCAGCAAUGGCCUGAUGAUUUCCAAUUCAAAUAUCGAACACAGAAGAAUGCCACUCCUCAGUGCAUGCAAAUACGUGGUUUUGUGUGUGUGUCAUGGCCAGUGCCAUGGAGGAAUUUCAGGUGAUCGUCCAUACCUUACCAGCCCCCACCUCUGGAACAUACAGCAUCCUACGGCUCACUCUGAUUGGCUCAGAGGGUGGCGAAACCCCACCCAUCUCAGUGAACGCUGGGGCCAACCAGCACCACCUCCUACCUGGAUCAGCUUGUGUGGUCAGAGUGUGGUCAGAGGUGGCACUGGGUCGAGUAGUUCUGGUCCGGCUACGGUUGGAGGCUCGGACGGGUUUCCCGGACCUGGACUGGCACUGCAGGGGGGUGGAGGUCCGGAGGCUGUGUGACAGACAGGAGGAAGGGGCGGGGCUACAGCACCAAGGGGCAGAGCACUUCUCUUGUAGCAGGUGGCUCCGGUCUGUAGAUGGUGACGUGGAGCUACGGAAUGGAGACAUGUGUCUGUUGAACUCAGAGACUGUGCAAACCCUGAAGGACCACAGACUCAAAGAUCUGCAAACUAAACAGCAGCACAUCAGGUGGCGUACAUUUGCUGAGGGUGUCCCUCACUGUGUGGACAUGACCAGUCUGAAGGAACUGGGACCCAACCUCAGCUACACACGCCAAAGCCCAGGCAUCAAUCUGCAGUAUCUAAGGGGUUUUGCUGAGAGAGCUGAAUCCUGGAGUAGCUUUACUGAGCUGGAGACCAUGUUCAGCCACAAUGGGAGCCAGAAUACUGUCGCUAAGUAUGUGCAGGCCCAUUGGGCUGAGGACUGGUUCUUUGGCUACCAGUGUUUGAACGGCUGUAACCCUCUCAUGGUGCGACAGACACGCCUCCUCCCUCCCAACCUGUCAAUCAACUCUGACAUUCUCUGCCCCUUCCUGCCUGACGGAUCCUCACUGGAACAGGAGCUAGAGAGAGGGUCUAUUUUCCUGCUGGACUACGAGAUGUUGGAAGGUGUCCCGGCCAACGUGAUCAAUGGGAAGCAGCAGUUUCUCGCCGCCCCGCUAGUCCUUCUGCACCUCAACCAGGAGGGGGAGCUCAAACCCAUCGCCAUCCAACUGCAGCAGGCCCCUGGUCCUCAGAACCCAGUGUUCCUGCCCUCUGACCCUGACUGGCUGUUGGCUAAGACCUGGGUGCGCUGCUCAGACUUCCAGUGCCACCAGCUUUCCUCUCACUUCCUCAGAACCCACCUGCUGGGAGAGGUGUGUUGCACUGCCACCCUCAGGCAGCUGCCAGAAGUACACCCUCUACACCAGUUGUUGAUGCCUCACAUAAAAACCACACUACAGAUCAACAUCCAAGCCAGGGCCUCUCUACUGGCUGCCAACGGAGUGUUUGACAAGGCCAUAGGCUGUGGUCUGGAGGCGUUGCCUGUACUGUUGUCUCGAGCCACAGAGCGUCUGCGUUACCGCUCCCUGUGUGUCCCUGACGACCUGGCAGACAGAGGGAUACACACACUCAAACACUGCUACUAUGCACAUGACGCACUGCGAGUGUGGACCGCACUGCACAGAUUUGUGAGUGGCUGGGUGGAUGUGUAUUACCUUGGAGACCAGGAUGUGGAGCAGGACUCUGAGCUGCAGAGCUGGAUCACUGAGAUCUACACACAUGGCUUCCUACAGCUCCCUCACUCAGGUUGCCCACAGUCAUUCCAAACCAAACCAGAACUCUCUCAGUUUGUUACCAUGGUUAUAUACUGCUGCUCUGCGCUGCACGCUGCUGUCAACUUCUCUCAGGUGGAUUUUGACUUGUGGAUGCCCAACUGCCCAGGCUCCAUGACGCACCCCCCUCCCCAGACCAAAGGCAUGUUGACGGAAGACGAGAUUCUCUCCAUCCUCCCGGACGUCAACUCCACCUGCAACCUCCUCAUCACUCUGUUCCUACUGUCCCAGCCCGCUGCCGACUACGUGCCUCUGUGUCAGUAUCGUGAGCCUGUGUUCAGCAGUGGCGCUCCCCGCCGGCUGGUGGAAAGGUGCAGGCCGAGCUCAGGGCCAUUUCUGAUGAGAUCACAGACAGGAACAAGAAGUUGGAGCUUCCCUACGACUACAUGUCCCCCGACCGCAUCGAGAACAGUGUGGCCAUCUGAGCUGCUGUGAAUACACCCACACAGACACGCAUGCACACACGUUAUGUUCUAUCCUCAUAUAGACCUAAAAUUAAUUUCCAUUCAAAGUCCUAUUUUCCCUAACCCUCAACUUAAAAUAGCCUUUUAUCCUCGUGAUUUUAGGUCCCCACAAGGAUAGAAGUACCAACCAAUCCACACAUGCAUGCACACAUGGACAAGUAGACACAAAGACCCCAAGGUGCGCGUGCGCACACACACACACACACUUCCAGCCACAUGCACAAACAAACGACAGCUUAAGGUUAAAAAAAGUGUCAAAACCUGCUCUAUAAUGAUUUAACUCUAUUAACCACAAUGUUUAUUCAGUUUCUAUGAAUCACGCUUUGACGGUGUUAGUGCUGCAGGGGUUUAAUGGUUUUGAUGAAAAGCAGCUAAACACAGCGAUCAGGUAGUUCACGCUCCUCUCCUAAUAUAAACCAGAAAUCAACAGCAGAAAAUAAUACCGGCUACAUCUCAAUAGUAUAUAGUGGCCUCCUCUCCCAUUAUCCUGUCCUUUUCUCCUCCAUCCUUGCUGAGCGAGAGAUUGACUAGGAUUUAGCUUCCACCUGUCAUGUUUUAAAAUUAUUUCUUUAACAUGUCUCCUCUUCAUCUACACUGAAGUGAAUUUAACAAAUGACAUCAAAUAAAAGAUUAGUUUUCACCUGGA